This 528-nucleotide long non-coding RNA is filed under the name Junco hyemalis (dark-eyed junco). RNAcentral's name for it is "lncRNA (ENSJHYG00000012522.1)". The record is from RNAcentral. Lineage: Eukaryota; Metazoa; Chordata; Aves; Passeriformes; Passerellidae.
CAGGCUCAGGGUUGCUCAUGCAACCCUAAUUCCCCAUGAUAUCAUCUUCACUUACUCUGUCACAACCUAUUUCUUCCACUGAAGCCUGUCUCAGCUGAGGAGAGGUGGUGCUCACUUACUGAGCAGCUCUUGCAGACACUUGGCUCCUGAUUGCUCCACACACAGCCCCAGGCAUGAGCUCCUGCUGGCUUUGAGCUUCCUUGGGUUUUCCUUGUGCCUGUUGCUGCCAGAUAUCUGGGUUGGAAUGGAUGCUCUGAGUUCCUCCACUCUGUGCCAUGUCUUCCUUGGAAUAGAUAAUUGUGACUUUGAAUUCCAACCUAAGGAAGUCUUGCCCACUAUGCAAACUACUUAUUCAAAGGCAGAUGAACUAUAAAGUUUUACAUCCUUGAUAUCUGGGACAUACUGAGAGAGAGGAGGAACUGCAAGUUUUAACAAAUAAUUAUCUUCCCUACUUCCCCUGGGCUGACCUCUUUCCUUUCUGCUCCAAAUAGGCUAAAUGAGCCUUUCUCCCCCAAAAAGGGAUUAACC